Cyprinus carpio carpio is the source of this 592-nucleotide long non-coding RNA. The record is from Ensembl. Lineage: Eukaryota; Metazoa; Chordata; Actinopteri; Cypriniformes; Cyprinidae.
CUGGUUUAAUUUCUGCUAGAUUCAAUAUUAACUGUUUAAUUAACACAGCUGAAGAGCAUUAUUGAAUUGGAAAUGAAGAUCUACUCAAGGUAACCUCGUUGGUCCGUCGCAGAUGAAUGCAGGCCGGGCAUAAAUGAACUAAAUUAAGAAUCAGGAAGGCACAGCUGUUGUCUUGGAAGACGUUUUCUCAGGAGACCCGAGGCACCUUUGAGGAGCAAAGGAGCAGAAAGAAGAAGUUUUCUUGUCCGGAAAGAUGAUAUAAAAACCAUUACGCCUAUGGAGUCCCCGUAAACCACCAAUGCAGGGUGCCACUCACUCAUUCAGUAUACAGCAAAAAAGCCCCAGACCAUCACGCUUCCACCUCCACGUUUGACUCGUUCCUCCUCCGUCCUUUCACCUACUCAACAAAACCUGUGUGACAAACACAAGAUUUCACAUUUUGACUCAUCGGUCGAGACCUUCCACCUCCAGGAGUCCAUUGACAAUGCCCAGGUCAGGUAGCAGGUCAUCUGUGUGUCCAUAUGGGACGGGUCUCAGAGAUGGUCUCAUUCGGCGGUUUAUCCUCGACAUGUCGUGGUUUCUGCAUCAUGAG